AAAACAAAAAAAAAAUCAUCUGAUGCACGUCUGUUAUACUGCGAAUAAAAGCAGUACCAUCUGAAACAUUAGUAAUAACCAUCAUAGGACUCGGGAGCCACCUGGAUGCCUUGUAUUCUUAUAUUCAUGAUCCAUAAACGAAACACGACAUCAUUGAACUAAACAAAAUACGCACGACCCCCCAGCAUUCGCGGUCCAGUCAAGGCAAGAUGAAGAUCGUUCGUAGAGACCUAGUACCCGAUGGCCCUGGUAGUGUCAAGAUGGUUCCCGAAGAAGCAGACGAUUUGUGGAUUGCUUAUAAUUUGAUUGCUGAGGGCGACACUGUCUUAGCUGUUACUGUCAGGAAAGUUCUGAGGGAAACAGCUUCCGGAGAAAGAGAUUCCGAAAGGGUAAAGCUCAGAUUAGAAGUUAAGGUUGAGACAAUGGAGUAUGAUAAAGAAGGGUCUGCUUUACGUAUUCGGGGAAAGAAUGUUCUGGAGAAUGAAUAUGUCAAGAUAGGUGCAUUCCACACGCUGGAAAUUGAGCCACAUCGACCUUUUGUCUUAAGGAAGGAAGUCUGGGACUCACUGGCUUUAGAGGUACUCCACCAAGCAUCUGAUCCAUCUGCCAGUGCUGAUCUAGGAGUGGUUUUAAUGCAAGAAGGAUUGGCCCAUAUUUUUCUUGUUGGUAAAAGUGUAACUAUCACCCGUUCUCGUAUAGAGACAUCAAUACCUCGCAAGCAUGGGCCUGCAGUUGCGGGUUAUGAUAAAGCUUUGAACAAAUUCUUCGAAAAUGUCCUAAAGGCAUUUCGUCAACAUAUUGACUUCAAUGUUGUUCGUUGUGCUGUGAUCGCAAGUCCUGGAUUUACAAAGGAUCAAUUUCAUCGUCACCUACUGUUGGAGGCAGAAAGGAAGCAACUGAGACCUAUUAUAGAGAACAAGUCUCGCAUAGUACUUGUGCAUACAACAUCAGGAUACAAGCAUAGUUUGAGAGAGGUUUUGGAUGCACCAAAUGUUAUGAAUAUGAUAAAAGAUACAAAAGCCGCUAAAGAGGUCCAAGCCCUGAAAGAAUUCUUCUCAAUGCUUUCAAAUGUCAGGAUUCUGAUCGUGCAUGCUACGGGCCAAAGCAUGUUGAAGUUGCUCAUGAACGGAUGGCAGUCCAGACACUUCUCAUCACUGAUGAGCUCUUCAGGAGUUCUGAUAUAGAAGCGAGGCAAAAGUAUGCCAAUUUGGUGAAAUCAGUCAAGGAGUCAGGCGGCACUGCUUACAUCUUCUCAUCCAUGCAUGUUUCAGGAGAACAGCUGGCACAGCUGUCUGGUAUUGCUGCAAUUCUUCGCUUUCCUCUCCCAGACCUAGAAGAUAUAGAGAUGUGAUAGGAGAGUUGCGAAACUGAUAGCUCCAUAUGUGGUUGUACAAUUACUACUAUUAUUUCUUUCCUCAAGUUCUUUAUGUACCACCAGUGAUGAAACUUUACUCUUUUUUUUUUUUUUGAGGGAGGAUAAAACUUUAGCACUAGAUUUAUAGGCCAUGGAGGAGGCUUUACAAGGGGGAUUUAACCUAUAGGCUGUAUGCAUACUGGUUUUUGUCCAAGUAAUCUACAUCCAUUGUUGUAGUUCGCAAGCUACUUUCUUGAUAAGAAAGGUCAUGGUACCUUACUCUUGCCGCAUGUCAUAAUUGUGGUUGUCUCGGGUUUUUCUUAAAGGGUUAACUUGUGAU
RNA transcript from Coffea arabica (coffee), 1694 nucleotides. It is a transcript of the gene named protein PELOTA 1, with no coding region annotated. The record is from RefSeq and is a predicted model, not a curated record. Lineage: Eukaryota; Viridiplantae; Streptophyta; Magnoliopsida; Gentianales; Rubiaceae.